Molecule: unclassified non-coding RNA, 231 nt
Filed under: Hevea brasiliensis (rubber tree)
Lineage: Eukaryota; Viridiplantae; Streptophyta; Magnoliopsida; Malpighiales; Euphorbiaceae
Source: RNAcentral
GGAAUAUUUAGCUCUGGUAGUACUUUUGAUUGGUCAGCAUGUGGUUCUUCAGGUAAAGUGCAAUGCAAAAACUUCUUGCUUGAACCAACCUGGUUGCAGAACAGCUUCAGCAUUUUCCUCCCCCUCAUCCAUUUAAGCAUUAUCUUCAUAUGGGUUUUGCUGUUCAAUCCACCAAUAGUAGACUCCUUGGCGUAAUUCCAAGUGCUGGAAACGUUGAGAGGUCCAUGCUGC